AGCACUGUGAGAGAGCUUUGCGUCCCAUUAGCUAGUUGGAGAGGUAACAGCUCACCAAGGCGAUGAUGGGUAGCCGGCCUGAGAGGGUGAACGGCCACAAGGGGACUGAGACACGGCCCUUACUCCUACGGGAGGCAGCAGUGGGGAAUAUUGGACAAUGGACCGAAAGUCUGAUCCAGCAAUUCUGUGUGCACGAUGAAGUUUUUCGGAAUGUAAAGUGCUUUCAGUUGGGAAGAAAGAAAUGACGGUACCAACAGAAGAAGUGACGGCUAAAUACGUGCCAGCAGCCGCGGUAAUACGUAUGUCACGAGCGUUAUCCGGAUUUAUUGGGCGUAAAGCGCGUCUAGGUGGUUAUGUAAGUCUGAUGUGAAAAUGCAGGGCUCAACUCUGUAUUGCGUUGGAAACUGUAUAACUAGAGUACUGGAGAGGUAAGCGGAACUACAAGUGUAGAGGUGAAAUUCGUAGAUAUUUGUAGGAAUGCCGAUGGGGAAGCCAGCUUACUGGACA
This 507-nucleotide ribosomal RNA is filed under the name uncultured Fusobacteriota bacterium. Its description in RNAcentral is "bacterial SSU rRNA". It matches the Rfam family "Bacterial small subunit ribosomal RNA", at positions 214 to 735 of the family's 1533-position model. The record is from RNAcentral. Lineage: Bacteria; Fusobacteriati; Fusobacteriota.